UGAUAGGAGAUCUAGCUAGCAAAACCCUUAGGAGAAAUACUGAGAUUGUCCCUCUUUACUUUCCUAGUCGCAGACUCAUAGAGGUAAGGGUGACCUUCAGGACAGGAGAUGGGGACAGUGUGAGCUUGGGUACUCUUCCAUGCAAAAGCUAAGCCAGCCCCUAAACUAUACAGGUGCUGUGCAAAGGUAGAGGUGAAUAACUGUCAGCUCUCAAUAAAAUGAGACUUCACAGACUAAUUAGGAAAUUGUAUAGAACUAGACACAGUCACAAACAGGAGGGUGCAGUGAACCUGUCUCCAUGGAAAGAAAAUCUGCUUGACUAUGCCAGCAUGGACCAUGGUGCACUCAGUCUCUGUGGCCAGCUGAGGAUAUGGAUCUCACAGGACUUUGCAAUAUAUACCAAUGCUCAGCAUCAAUA
RNAcentral lists this long non-coding RNA (418 nucleotides) under Anser brachyrhynchus (Pink-footed goose). RNAcentral's name for it is "lncRNA (ENSABRG00000014449.1)". Lineage: Eukaryota; Metazoa; Chordata; Aves; Anseriformes; Anatidae. The record is from RNAcentral.